RNAcentral lists this ribosomal RNA (767 nucleotides) under Diaporthe helicis. RNAcentral describes it as "LSU rRNA". It matches the Rfam family "Eukaryotic large subunit ribosomal RNA", at positions 86 to 885 of the family's 3401-position model. Lineage: Eukaryota; Fungi; Ascomycota; Sordariomycetes; Diaporthales; Diaporthaceae. The record is from RNAcentral.
ACGGCGAGUGAAGCGGCAACAGCUCAAAUUUGAAAUCUGGCCUCGGCCCGAGUUGUAAUUUGCAGAGGAUGCUUCUGGCGCGGUGCCUUCCGAGUUCCCUGGAACGGGACGCCACAGAGGGUGAGAGCCCCGUAUGGUCGGACACCAAGCCUGUGUGAAGCUCCUUCGACGAGUCGAGUAGUUUGGGAAUGCUGCUCUAAAUGGGAGGUAAAUCUCUUCUAAAGCUAAAUACCGGCCAGAGACCGAUAGCGCACAAGUAGAGUGAUCGAAAGAUGAAAAGCACCUUGAAAAGGGGGUUAAAUAGUACGUGAAAUUGUUGAAAGGGAAGCACUUAUGACCAGACUUGGGCCGGGCGGCUCAUCAGGGGUUCUCCCCUGUGCACUCCGCCCGGCACAGGCCAGCAUCGGUUCUCGUGGGGGGAUAAGACCGUCAGGAACGUAGCACCCUCCGGGGUGUGUUAUAGCCUGGCGGACGAUACCCCCGUGGGGACCGAGGUCCGCGCUCCGCAAGGAUGCUGGCGUAAUGGUCAUCAGUGACCCGUCUUGAAACACGGACCAAGGAGUCGUCCAUUAGAGCGAGCGUUUGGGUGUAAAACCCGCACGCGUAAUGAAAGUGAACGCAGGUGAGAGCUUCGGCGCAUCAUCGACCGAUCCUGAUGUUCUCGGAAGGAUUUGAGUAAGAGUUUUAACGGACGGACCCGAAAGACAGUGAACUAUGCUUGUAUAGGGUGAAGCCAGAGGAAACUCUGGUGGAGGCUCGCAGCGGUU